Oncorhynchus tshawytscha (Chinook salmon) is the source of this 1013-nucleotide long non-coding RNA. The record is from Ensembl. Lineage: Eukaryota; Metazoa; Chordata; Actinopteri; Salmoniformes; Salmonidae.
GUAUUGGAAGGAAUUGAUCUUUAGCCAAACCUAGUGUGAUUUGUAUUGGAAGGAAUUGAUCUUUAGCCAAACCUAGUGUGAUUUGUAUUGGAAGGAAUUGAUCUUUAGCCAAACCUAGUGUGAUUUGUAUUGGACAUAAUUGUAAAGUGACUAUUGAAGAAUAGCUGAAGAAACUUAUUGCAUUGAAGCGUGGUCUUGCAAACGUCAAGCUGUGAGUUCCGUACACGAAGCUGGUGAACUUGUGGGACUUCAGUCAUGAUAAUUGAUUUGUCCUUGAUGUAACAGUUUCAGCUGUGCAUGAAAUGAGUAAAACAUGAAAUUACAUUUGAAUUUGGAUUUUCUUGGCAUUUUACUUUUUACAAAAUAUAUAAAAAUUUUAAAAAGGCAAAUGUUGUUGAAAGCCAUUAGAUUUUUAUUAUAAAGCAACUAAUCCUUGAAAUACUAUUUGCACUUUCAUAGUCUAUACCUUAUACAUUCCCUCUUGAAAUGAAAAACAUACUGUUUUGAUGUGUGGCCAAUAAACAUUGAAUUUUACUACUGGGUGGAAUGUUUUUUUUUUCCCAAUACAAAAACAUAAACAUCUAUAUCAAUCUUAACCAGUGCUUUCUAUGGAGUUGUACCUUUUUAUAUUUGAGUCAUUUACCAGACGUAAUGUCAUUUUUGUUAUAAAACAUCUAUAUUUCUAUCACCAUCAGUGCUGUUUUCUAUUGAGUUUUACUUCUGAGAUUAAUGUUAUUUUUUAUUAUUAUAAAAUAUUCGAAAACAAAUAAAAUGUUCAGCAACACUUUCUAUUAUCUACAUUCAUACAGUCCCGUCAAAGUAUUUAUACCACUUUGACCUGUUCCACAUUUUGUUGUUAAAGCCUGAAUUCAAAAUGGAUUAAAUGUAUUGUGUGGUUUUUUUCUCACCCAUCUAUACACAAUACCCUGUAAUGACAUCACAAUACCCCGUAAUGACAUCACAAUACCCCGUAAUGACAUCACAAUACCCCGUAAUGACAUCACAAUACCCCG